Molecule: ribosomal RNA, 386 nt
Filed under: uncultured bacterium
Lineage: Bacteria
Description: bacterial SSU rRNA
Rfam family: Bacterial small subunit ribosomal RNA
Source: RNAcentral
AUUGAACGCUGGCGGCAUGCUUUACACAUGCAAGUCGAACGGUAACAGGGUGCUUGCACCGCUGACGAGUGGCGAACGGGUGAGUAAUGCAUCGGAAUGUACCGUGUAAUGGGGGAUAGCUCGGCGAAAGCCGGAUUAAUACCGCAUACGCCCUGAGGGGGAAAGUGGGGGACCGAAAGGCCUCACGUUAUACGAGCAGCCGAUGUCUGAUUAGCUAGUUGGUGAGGUAAAGGCUCACCAAGGCGUCGAUCAGUAGCGGGUCUGAGAGGAUGAUCCGCCACACUGGGACUGAGACACGGCCCAGACUCCUACGGGAGGCAGCAGUGGGGAAUUUUGGACAAUGGGCGCAAGCCUGAUCCAGCCAUGCCGCGUGUCUGAAGAAGGCC